Molecule: unclassified non-coding RNA, 254 nt
Filed under: uncultured bacterium
Lineage: Bacteria
Description: contains 16S-23S intergenic spacer region
Rfam family: Bacterial small subunit ribosomal RNA
Source: RNAcentral
GACGUAGGGGGCAAGCGUUGUCCGGAUUCACUGGGCGUAAAGGGCGUGUAGGCGGUUGCGUAAGUCCGGCGUGAAAACUCACGGCUCAACUGUGAACCUGUGUCGGAUACUGCGCUGACUAGAGGACGGUAGAGGCAGGUGGAACUAUCGGUGUAGCGGUGAAAUGCGCAGGUAUCGCUAGGAACGCCGGUGGCGAAGGCGAUCUGCUGGGCCGUUCCUGACGCUGAGGCGCGAAAGCUGGGGGAGCGAACCGG